AGCGAACGCUGGCGGCAGGCCUAACACAUGCAAGUCGAACGAACCUUUCGGGGUUAGUGGCGGACGGGUGAGUAACACGUGGGAACGUGCCUUGAGGUUCGGAAUAACUCAGGGAAACUUGUGCUAAUACCGAAUGUGGCCUUCGGGGCAAAGAUUAAUCGCCUUUAGAGCGGCCCGCGUCUGAUUAGCUAGUUGGUUGAGGUAAUGGCUCACCAAGGCGACGAUCAGUAGCUGGUCUGAGAGGAUGAUCAGCCACAUUGGGACUGAGACACGGCCCAAACUCCUACGGGAGGCAGCAGUGGGGAAUCUUGCGCAAUGGGCGAAAGCCUGACGCAGCCAUGCCGCGUGAAUGAUGAAGGUCUUAGGAUUGUAAAAUUCUUUCACCGGGGACGAUAAUGACGGUACCCGGAGAAGAAGCCCCGGCUAACUUCGUG
Molecule: ribosomal RNA, 434 nt
Filed under: uncultured bacterium
Lineage: Bacteria
Description: partial 16S ribosomal RNA
Rfam family: Bacterial small subunit ribosomal RNA
Source: RNAcentral